RNAcentral lists this unclassified non-coding RNA (491 nucleotides) under Hevea brasiliensis (rubber tree). Lineage: Eukaryota; Viridiplantae; Streptophyta; Magnoliopsida; Malpighiales; Euphorbiaceae. The record is from RNAcentral.
AAAAAAAAAAUAAUAAAUUAAAAAGAUAAACGGCUUGGAUUUGGCUCAUUUAAACCAGAUUGGCGUAUAAAUUGAGCUCAUGUGCAAAUUAGUUUCGCUUAUGAGCUAAAGCUUGACCUACAUACCCAUUAAUUAUGAUUUUAUGUGGAAUUUAAUGUAAAACAGUUAUGUUAUAAAGCAUCUACAUGUUUUUCUUAUAUGCUAAAUGUGAAUUAGUCUACCUAAGAGUAUUCAAAUAGGGAGUGGGGGAAUUGAAAUAGUAUGGGAUAUGCAAGCCAUGAUUUGCCCCAAAACCUUCAUGUACAGAGGUGGGAUGAAUAUUAUCUAUGAAUAUAUAAGGGUUCAUCAAACAGUUUAAUGUUGGAGAUGUUAUCAAGAUCCUAGAUUGAUUAUGGAUGAGAUUACUCUUCUUUAUUAUUUGGAGAGAUUGCUCUUUAGGCUUUAAGCAAUUAAUCAGAGAUAAAAGGCCAGGUUGAUUUGUAAGUGAUUAA